CAUGCAAGUCGAGGGGAAACGACAUCGAAAGCUUGCUUUUGAUGGGCGUCGACCGGCGCACGGGUGAGUAACGCGUAUCCAACCUGCCCACCACUUGGGGAUAACCUUGCGAAAGUAAGACUAAUACCCAAUGACGUCUCUAGAAGACAUCUGAAAGAGAUUAAAGAUUUAUCGGUGAUGGAUGGGGAUGCGUCUGAUUAGCUUGUUGGCGGGGUAACGGCCCACCAAGGCGACGAUCAGUAGGGGUUCUGAGAGGAAGGUCCCCCACAUUGGAACUGAGACACGGUCCAAACUCCUACGGGAGGCAGCAGUGAGGAAUAUUGGUCAAUGGACGAGAGUCUGAACCAGCCAAGUAGCGUGCAGGAAGACGGCCCUAUGGGUUGUAAACUGCUUUUAUAAGGGAAUAAAGUGAGAGUCGUGACUCUUUUUGCAUGUACCUUAUGAAUAAGGACCGGCUAAUUCCGUGCCAGCAGCCGCGGUAAUACGGAAGGUCCGGGCGUUAUCCGGAUUUAUUGGGUUUAAAGGGAGCGUAGGCCGGAGAUUAAGCGUGUUGUGAAAUGUAGAUGCUCAACAUCUGAACUGCAGCGCGAACUGGUUUCCUUGAGUACGCACAAAGUGGGCGGAAUUCGUGGUGUAGCGGUGAAAUGCUUAGAUAUCACGAAGAACUCCGAUUGCGAAGGCAGCUCACUGGAGCGCAACUGACGCUGAAGCUCGAAAGUGCGGGUAUCGAACAGGUUUAGAUACCCUGGUAGUCCGCACGGUAAACGAUGGAUGCCCGCUGUUGGUCUGAAUAGGUCAGCGGCCAAGCGAAAGCAUUAAGCAUCCCACCUGGGGAGUACGCCGGCAACGGUGAAACUCAAAGGAAUUGACGGGGCC
Molecule: ribosomal RNA, 876 nt
Filed under: uncultured bacterium
Lineage: Bacteria
Description: bacterial SSU rRNA
Rfam family: Bacterial small subunit ribosomal RNA
Source: RNAcentral